Molecule: ribosomal RNA, 898 nt
Filed under: uncultured bacterium
Lineage: Bacteria
Description: bacterial SSU rRNA
Rfam family: Bacterial small subunit ribosomal RNA
Source: RNAcentral
AGAGUUUGAUCAUGGCUCAGCCCUUUACGCUGGCGGCGCGCCUAACACAUGCAAGUCGAACGGCCCCCAUUUUAGAGUUUACUUUGGGAUGGUUUAGUGGCGGACGGGUGAGUAACACGUGAGCAACCUACCUUUCAGAGGGGGAUAACAGUUGGAAACGACUGCUAAUACCGCAUAACGUUGUAAAAGGGCAUCCAUUUACAACCAAAAGAGAAAUCUGCUGAAAGAUGGGCUCGCGGCCGAUUAGAUAGUAGGCGGGGUAACGGCCCACCUAGUCAACGAUCGGUAGCCGGACUGAGAGGUUGAACGGCCACAUUGGGACUGAGACACGGCCCAGACUCCUACGGGAGGCAGCAGUGGGGGAUAUUGCACAAUGGGCGAAAGCCUGAUGCAGCGACGCCGCGUGAGGGAAGACGGUCUUCGGAUUGUAAACCUCUGUCUUUGGGGAAGAAUAGAGACGGUACCCAAAGAGGAAGCUCCGGCUAACUACGUGCCAGCAGCCGCGGUAAUACGUAGGGAGCGAGCGUUGUCCGGAAUUACUGGGUGUAAAGGGAGCGUAGGCGGGCUUGUAAGUUGAAUGUCUAAUCCACCGGCUCAUCCGGUGAUCGCGUUCACAACUGCAGGUCUUGAGUGAAGUAUAGGCAGGCGGAAUUCCUAGUGUAGCGGUGAACUGCGUACAUAUUAGGAGGAACACCCUUGGCGAAGGCGGCCUGCUGGGCUUUAUCUGACGCUGAAGCUCGAAAGCGUGGGGGAGCAAACAGGAUUAGAUACCCUGCUAUCCCCCGCCGUAAACGAUGAUUACUAGGUGUGGGGGAGAUCAUACUUUUCCGUGCCGGAGUAAACACAAUAAUUAAUCCCCCCCGGGGGAUUACGGGCCUUCCGGUUUGAACUCUCCAAG